UACGUAGGGGGCAAGCGUUGUCCGGAAUCAUUGGGCGUAAAGCGCGUGUAGGCGGUUCAGUAAGUCUGCUGUGAAAGUCCAGGGCUCAACCCUGGGAUGCCGGUGGAUACUGCUGGGCUAGAGUACGGAAGAGGCGAGUGGAAUUCCCGGUGUAGCGGUGAAAUGCGCAGAUAUCGGGAGGAACACCAAUUGCGAAGGCAGCUCGCUGGGACGUUACUGACGCUGAGACACGAAAGCGUGGGGAGCAAACAGG
This 253-nucleotide ribosomal RNA is filed under the name uncultured bacterium. RNAcentral's name for it is "partial 16S ribosomal RNA". It matches the Rfam family "Bacterial small subunit ribosomal RNA", at positions 524 to 776 of the family's 1533-position model. The record is from RNAcentral.